Molecule: ribosomal RNA, 253 nt
Filed under: uncultured bacterium
Lineage: Bacteria
Description: partial 16S ribosomal RNA
Rfam family: Bacterial small subunit ribosomal RNA
Source: RNAcentral
UACGUAGGGGGCUAGCGUUGUCCGGAAUCAUUGGGCGUAAAGAGCGCGUAGGCGGCCAGGCAAGUCCGGUGUGAAAGUCACAGGCUCAACCUGUGAAUGCCGCUGGAAACUGUCUGGCUAGAGUCCGGAAGGGGCGAGUGGAAUUCCUGGUGUAGCGGUGAAAUGCGCAGAUAUCAGGAGGAACACCUAUGGCGAAGGCAGCUCGCUGGGACGUUACUGACGCUGAGACGCGAAAGCGUGGGGAGCAAACAGG